Molecule: long non-coding RNA, 3857 nt
Filed under: Sinocyclocheilus grahami
Lineage: Eukaryota; Metazoa; Chordata; Actinopteri; Cypriniformes; Cyprinidae
Description: lncRNA (ENSSGRG00000034343.1)
Source: RNAcentral
UUUAAAACCAGCUUGAAAAAAAUCAGUUCAUUUGAUUCUAGUUCUGUUUUAAAUUGAAUGUAUCAGAAAUGAAAUGGAAUUGAAAGUCAUUCUCAGUUCUGCAUGGUGUAAACUGUGCUGUUUACAAACCCAACCCCGGAUGACUGCUGCCAGUAAGCGUGCAGCUCAAAGUCCUCUACAGACGUUCCAGUCACUUUUGGAAAGCACGUACAGUCCUGACUUUGACUUCCACUUUCUUCUGCUUUGGGUCUGAUGACAUAACAACUACUUUCCUGCCCACUUUAAUGGCUGAUUAUAUACUCUACUAUAUCCAGACGUGGCUGACGCCGCUGCUGGUUUUGACUGUGAGUCUGUGCAUACUGAGGUACUGCUGCAAACUCUGCAGCAAAGUCUCAGACACUGACUCAGAUCUCGACCUGUCGAACAGCGACCAUGUCUACGUGAUUCCCAAUCCCAUUCAUGUGAGAGAAGAGCGAGACGAACGAGACGAGACAAACUCUCAUGAUGAUCUUGUGUUCACACCACCACCAUAUGAGCUAGUGUGUCCACCACCAUCAUAUGCAGAGUCCAGCUUUAAAUUAAGAGGUACUCCAGAUUCAGAGAUGGACACUUCCAACAUACCGCCUCCACCAUACAGCCCACCUUUAAAUAUGAUGUCACAAUCAUCCAGCCAUCAACAAUAGACACUGCUGAAUAUAUAUUUUUGUAGGUGUGAUGAUAGCUAGUAGAACUAAUGCAUCUUUUUAUUCUCAUAACUGGAAUUGUGUAUGUGAAAGUUCAUACCAAAUAGGCAGAGCAGUUGGCAUUUUCCCUGGAACUUGGUACAGUUUUCCAGAACAAUCAUUCAGCACUAGAUAAGUAGCCGUUUUAAUGAGCAAAUGAACCAAAGUCUGUCAUACGGUUACUCAACAGUCCCACAGGAAGAUCUUUACAGUUUUUACGUCAGAGAUAUUUCUUAUCUUAAGAACAAGAAGUUUAUUGCUUUUGCGAACCAUGUCAAGGGGAGUGGCUGAAAUGCUGACAUAUUUUUUGGCAACUAUGUAAAUCCUUAAUUACUGGGAUAAAUUCAGUUAAUGGGGUCAUAUGACGUUGCUAAAAAGAGCAUUAUGUUGUGUGUUUGGUGUGAUGCAAUGUGUUUAUGCGGUUUAAGGUUAAAAAAAGCAUUAUUUUCCACAUAAUGUACAUUAUUGUUGCUCCUCUAUGCCCCGCCUUUCUGGAACGUGUUGAUUUUUACAAAGCUCAUCGGUCUGAAAAGCGAGGUGUGCUCUGAUUGGCCAGCUAUCCAGUGCAUUGUGAUUGGCUGAAUACCUCAAGCGUGUGAUGGAAAUGUUAUACCCCUUACCAUGCUGUGAUGCUGUGUCCCAGCGCGAUGAGGCAACACCAAUAAAACCCAUUACAAACGAGGCAUUUGUUGCAUCCAAUGGGGACAUAAUUACUGAUCAUAAUGACUUAUACUGUCUUUUUACGCAACAUAAACAUAAAACCAUGUUUGCAUUUGUGAUCGGAGAAACGACAAACAACAAGCGCUACUCUACACUGCUCAAAACUCACGUUUGAAUAAUCAGUGGCAAAUCCUUUACAUAUGAAAACGUACUUCCUGGCUUUGAGUCAGAAGCGCCAGACUGUCCUUGCAAAGUUGGAACUGCCCCACUUUAUAAAAAAACACCUUUGUGCACAGACGCAUUGUAGUCUACUCUCCCAGGAUCAGGAAACAGUCCUCCAUAAAAUGCACUGCACACAUCUGAAUAUUUGGGUUGAACUGGUCUGGAACAGUGUUGUAAAUACAACUUAACCACUGAUUUCUAGUUGUGUCCUCUUUUGGAAGGCCAAACAAAGUAGUUUCGCUUUCACAACGAAACACACGGCGGGCUUGUGUGAGAAACGGCCGGUGGGCUUGCGGCAACCAUAUGUGAUGACUCCGGGCUGGACUCCGCUUCGUCCACGGUGAAAGCCAAUCCAGCGAUCCACAGUGCGAAGUUGAUGUAUUUCCUCAGCGACCAGCACGGAUCAGCUCUAGGCAUGACGAAGCGGAUAUCGUCCUCUUUUGGAAGGCCAAACAAAGUAGUUCCGCUUUCACAACGAAACACAGCGCCUUCACGACAUGCUUGCGGCGGCAACAACAAUACUACAGCGAGAAAAAAAGUUAUGCUGCUUCUUUCUUUGUGUGAACAUUUGGGCGGCGUUAUGCAAAUCUUCCCACACAGUGACGUAGACAUGUGGGGGCGUGUUUAAACGAGGCGGAUUAGGAGGGCGUGGACAAGUCUUAACUUUUAUAAAGAAUAUCUCCUUGGGUUUGAGACUUUAGUCUUUGCAACUUUAGGGAUCUUAUCUAUGCACAAACAGUUUUUAACAAAGAGAAAGGAACAUUUGAAAUUGCAUCAUAUGACCCCUUUAAAAUCUACAUUAGACAUGUUGGUAACACUUUAGUUUAGGGACCAAUUCUCACUAUUAUGUAGUUGCUUAUUAGGAUGCAUAUUACUAGUAUAAUGGCUGUUUAUUAGUACUUAUAAAGCACAUAUUAAUGCCUUAUUCUGCAUGACCACAUUUUAGAUCUCUUAAUCCUACCCCAUACCUAAACUUAACAAUUACCUUAUUAACUAUUAAUAAGCAGCAAUUAGGAGUUUUGAGGCAAAAGUCAUAGUUAAUAGUUAGUUAAUAAUGAGAAUUGUUCCACAAACUAAAGUGUCACCGAAACGUAUAUGAAGUAAAUGGUAACACUUAGGCGGAUUAGGAGGGCGUGGACAAGUCUUAACUUUUAUAAAGAAUAUCUCCUUGGGUUUGAGACUUUAGUCUUUGCAACUUUAGGGAUCUUAUCUAUGCACAAACAGUUUUUAACAAAGAGAAAGGAACAUUUGAAAUUGCAUCAUAUGACCCCUUUAAAAUCUACAUUAGACAUGUUGGUAACACUUUAGUUUAGGGACCAAUUCUCACUAUUAUGUAGUUGCUUAUUAGGAUGCAUAUUACUAGUAUAAUGGCUGUUUAUUAGUACUUAUAAAGCACAUAUUAAUGCCUUAUUCUGCAUGACCACAUUUUAGAUCUCUUAAUCCUACCCCAUACCUAAACUUAACAAUUACCUUAUUAACUAUUAAUAAGCAGCAAUUAGGAGUUUUGAGGCAAAAGUCAUAGUUAAUAGUUAGUUAAUAAUGAGAAUUGUUCCACAAACUAAAGUGUCACCGAAACGUAUAUGAAGUAAAUGGUAACACUUUAUUUUGAUAGUCCACUUUGAACAUUCUACUAUAGCUGCUUUGCAACUGCAUGUCAACUAGUGUAUUAGUAGACUGUCUGUUUAACAUCUGCUAACACUUUUUGAUGAUCCCCCCAAUAGACAUUCUGCUGACUAUAAGUAACUUUGUAAGUAAAUGUCAACUUAUUCUACUAACCCUAACCAAACAGUCUGCUAAUAUUCUAAAGAGAGUUAGAUGACAAUGACAUGUAGUUGCAAAUUAAUGAGUUAGUUGACAUGAUAUUGCAAAGUUACUUAGUAGAAUGUCUAAAGGAGACUAUGGAAAUAAAUGAAUAUGAAAACCUGUGAGUGAGGUAGGUAGGUAGGUAGGUAGAACUAGUUGAUUGUGAGUGACCGGAUGCAGAAAACCAAAUGAAUCUGAUUUCUCAAGCAACAGUUUAGAAAUCAAUAAAAGUAAAAGUAGCCCCAUUUUAAAGCAGGUAUUAUGUCGAAUUGAAUUUCGUAUAGCUUCAUUUUAUGCUUAUCAGGAUAGAUUAUUUAUUCUAAACAUCCUGUGCUUUCACCUAAUUAAUUACUGUUCUGUAAAUGUUAAUCAUAACUUGUUUUUUGACACACACAGUCACAUGCACAUGCAAUGUAAUGUAGCGUUAAACCACUAUAUGAAAAUAUCUUG